This 649-nucleotide long non-coding RNA is filed under the name Mus caroli (Ryukyu mouse). Its description in RNAcentral is "predicted gene 12127 (MGP_CAROLIEiJ_G0002586.1)". Lineage: Eukaryota; Metazoa; Chordata; Mammalia; Rodentia; Muridae. The record is from RNAcentral.
GGGGUGAAAGGAGAAGAGACAAAGAGAGUGCGCAGGUUAAGAUGGAAAAAGACAAGGAUCCUGGGAAAUGCGCAGCUGCCAGCCAGCCAGCAACGCCAGCACACACACACACACACACACACACACACACACACAUUAGGUGACCAAAACAAGACUUGUGACUUUGACAUCAAACUUGACCUUGAGUUCAUCAUACAAUGGACGUAACAGAAGCAGCUAUUUCCAACAGACUUCUCUGAGAGUUCCCUAGUCACCAGGGUGGAUGAAGGGAGAACAUACCCCUGGAGAUACAAUUACCGAGCAGGAUAACCUCUUCCAUCACCAUACACAGAGUCAGAACCUUGAGCUGGACCCCUUCAUCAUCCUGUUACCAUGGCUGCCUUAUACUUUUGCCUCAGUCAAGCUAUCCAGGUGAUCCUGCUCUCUCUCUCUUUUGCUUUCUAAUAUCUGUUACAAUUCACGGUUGGCAUUCAAGAAUGUCUGGAGAAGGAAAACACAAACAAACGAUGGCCGAGUCAUUUUGGAGCCAGGCACAGCCAGACUUCAAACUCUGCUGGGUGUGGCAUGACAGUGAGCAGGGCAGCUCUUUGCCCUAACCUCAGAUGCAUCUGUGAAGUGCUGAAGAACAACAUAAUCUGAACUCUGAGCC